UACGGAGAGUGCAAGCGUUGUCCGGAAUCACUGGGUGUAAAGGGUGUGUAGGUGGGGUAGCAAGUCAGAGGUGAAAGCCCACGGCUCAACCGUGGAAUUGCCUUUGAUACUGUUAUUCUUGAGUCCUGGAGAGGACACUGGAAUUCGUGGUGUAGCGGUGAAAUGCGUAGAUAUCACGAGGAACACCAGAGGUGUAGACGGGUGACUGGACAGGUACUGACACUGAGGCACGAAAGCGUGGGGAGCAAACAGG
This 253-nucleotide unclassified non-coding RNA is filed under the name uncultured Bacteroidota bacterium. RNAcentral's name for it is "uncultured Bacteroidetes bacterium contains 16S-23S intergenic spacer region". It matches the Rfam family "Bacterial small subunit ribosomal RNA", at positions 524 to 776 of the family's 1533-position model. The record is from RNAcentral. Lineage: Bacteria; Pseudomonadati; Bacteroidota.